Molecule: ribosomal RNA, 484 nt
Filed under: uncultured bacterium
Lineage: Bacteria
Description: partial 16S ribosomal RNA
Rfam family: Bacterial small subunit ribosomal RNA
Source: RNAcentral
AUUGAACGCUGGCGGCAUGCUUUACACAUGCAAGUCGAACGGCAGCGCGGGCUUCGGCCUGGCGGCGAGUGGCGAACGGGUGAGUAAUGCAUCGGAACGUGCCCAGUAGUGGGGGAUAGCCCGGCGAAAGCCGGAUUAAUACCGCAUACGACCUGAGGGUGAAAGCGGGGGACCGAAAGGCCUCGCGCUAUUGGAGCGGCCGAUGUCGGAUUAGCUAGUUGGUGGGGUAAAGGCUUACCAAGGCGACGAUCCGUAGCUAGUCUGAGAGGAUGACCAGCCACACUGGGACUGAGACACGGCCCAGACUCCUACGGGAGGCAGCAGUGGGGAAUUUUGGACAAUGGGGGCAACCCUGAUCCAGCCAUGCCGCGUGCGGGAAGAAGGCCUUCGGGUUGUAAACCGCUUUUGUUCGGGAAGAAAUCCUAUGGGCUAAUACCCCGGGGGGAUGACGGUACCGGAAGAAUAAGCACCGGCUAACUACGUG